RNAcentral lists this ribosomal RNA (714 nucleotides) under Triticum aestivum (bread wheat). RNAcentral's name for it is "partial small subunit ribosomal RNA". Lineage: Eukaryota; Viridiplantae; Streptophyta; Magnoliopsida; Poales; Poaceae. The record is from RNAcentral.
UGAACAUAUGGUUUCCAUCUGAUAUGUACUCCUCUGUCCUCUCGAUAACCCUAGCCGCAGCUGAUCUCCCCUCCCUCCACUCCGCUGGACAGGGCCGGCGACGAGCUGGACAGGGGGCGGCUGCAGGCGCUCGUGCACGUCGAAGAACCGGCGGCCGCUCCUGCAUCAAUGGCGCAGCGAGGAAUCAGAGGAGAUAUGGGAGAGAGGGAGGAGAUGGGAGGAAACUGGGGAAGGGCUCGUCGACGCGGCGGCGCUUGCCGGAGCUUGUCUGGCGGCGGGGUCACACGCGCGUGGCGCCCUCCCUGGCGGCGCAAACAGGAAGGAGGAGGCGCACUAGAGGCGUAGUGGCUGCAACCAGAUGGGCUUCGGAGGGCCGAGAUCAUGUUGCAGCGGGCCCUGGCACUGCUGGUGGGUCGGGGGAGCUGACCUCGAUCCCAAUCUCAACUACUACACCAGAGAAGUUGGGGACGGUCAUCAGCCUGCCACGGCAAGACAGACGCGACCUUGGCUCGGCCAUGUCUGCCUCUCUGAACUGAAUGUUAUGCCUCUACUACUUGAGGAGGGUAAUAGCUGUGAGAUGUACCUGACCAUGACGCCUCGGUCACGUCCUCCUCCCUGAAAGGAAUACUAUGUCUGAAAUAUCCAAAAAAGCUUAUAUUGAUAUUAUUGAAAUUGCUUCUCUACUGCUCGAGUAAGGUAAUAAACAUGAGACGA